UACCUUGGUCUUGUAAACCAAAAAUGAAGCUACAGACUUCUUAGAGCA
RNAcentral lists this transfer RNA (48 nucleotides) under Marmota flaviventris (yellow-bellied marmot). RNAcentral's name for it is "tRNA-Thr". Lineage: Eukaryota; Metazoa; Chordata; Mammalia; Rodentia; Sciuridae. The record is from RNAcentral.